GCCGCGAUCGCAUAACCUGGUAUUGCGCAGAAACUUUUGGGAAAAGUUUCAUCAAAAAGUUACGUAGGAUUGCUAAUCCUGUUUCCUUCGGGAUAUCUGGGUUCAAAUCCCAGUCGCGGCG
RNAcentral lists this transfer RNA (121 nucleotides) under Candidatus Woesearchaeota archaeon. RNAcentral describes it as "tRNA-Ser". The record is from RNAcentral. Lineage: Archaea; Nanobdellati; Candidatus Woesearchaeota.